Cricetulus griseus (Chinese hamster) is the source of this 8331-nucleotide non-coding RNA. NCBI's taxonomy places the organism in Eukaryota, Metazoa, Chordata, Mammalia, Rodentia, Cricetidae. The record is from RefSeq and is a predicted model, not a curated record.
UGGUCAUGGUGUCUGUUCACAGCAAUAGAAACCCUAACUAAGACAGGGGCCUAUCUUGUGGGUUAGCAGAUACCUAGGAACCAUUCUAACUUUGACCAAUGACAUUUGAUGCAAAUGACAAAGUGGGUAGCCUGCUCAGCCUGUUAUGCUCUUCAUUUCCUCAAGAAAAAUGCAUUAAGAUCCAUUUGCCAGAAGAGGUCACUCAAACACCACCUUUAGUUUUUCAUCUGUUGACUUGGGGCCUUUACACAUAGCACAUAGGAGCCCUUUGAUAAAUUCAUCGACUAUGUGAGGGGUGGGGAGGGUAUUCCACAGUAUGCAUGUGAAGGUCAGAGAACUAAUGAAGCUGUCCUUUCUCUCUAAUAUGUAGGGCCCAUGUAACUUAGUCAGGCUCACCAGCAAGUUGGAUGGGGGUGAGGUAUGGGGAGAAGUGGUCCCAAGGUCAUUGUGAAGUUAAAGAGGCCUGGAGAGGGGCCUGGGUCCAGGUUUAUUAUAAAGGCCUGGGCAAGGAUUCUGGAUGCCCAGGGUCCUACUCAGUGCCUUCCAGAGGCAGGGCUGCAACACCUGCUGAGCCACACCAAUGCCUCUGUGGUUUUUCAAAGCAUAGUAAUAGGGUGUUUCAAGGAUUCUAUUGUCUGUAUAUGGUAUGGAAUGGAACAAUUAAUUUUAUUUACCAAAGAUACUUUGAGGUUUGGUUAAAACUGCAGGAAGCAACGUUGGGAGUUCCAUCUCAGGACUACUUUGAAGUUUGACUCAUCUUCCUCCUUAAUUGCUGUGGUAUUUGGAGAAAACCCCUUAACCUCUGCCUGAUUUUCAUGCAGUUGUGGAUAUGAUCACAGUAUCCCCAUAAUGUCCAAAGGGUUAAUACAAAAACCUAUAGCAGCCUCACACUUUGCAAGCACAUCAGUGGAAAACAUACCAAAGGUGCAAAUCAAAGUUGUAGAUUUUUGAAAUCUGGUUUUAAUGGAUAGUGCCCUUCUAUGUAGCCUGUCCCAAACCUGCUGUGGCAUCCUCCUGAGCAAAGGGAUUACAGGCAUGCACCACCCGAAAAGCCAGAAAUGUGAGUUCUAGUGCCCUUUGUCCUUCCCUACCCCCUGUGCCGUGCUUUUAGAGAAUAUGGACUUGACUCCUCUAAGUUUCUUUAGAGAGAGAGGGUUUGUAUCAGGUUGUUGAAUGUGCCUCUAAACCAUUGUAAAGACCAGAGAAAUGGAGCUGCAGGUCCACUUGGACCAGUGAUUCUAAGGGUGGCUUCAGCAGGUUGUCUGCUGAUGAAUGCUCUGAAUUUCUGCCCCAAAUCACACACCCCAUUGCUCAGAGCUGCCUCCUAGAAACCAAGAGACAUUUUCCAUGAAUUCUACCUGAAGGCUUCUCUACCUUAGAAAGGACAAUAUCAGUAGCCCCAUGUGAGGCCUAGAGCCUGGAUCAGAAGAGAGCAGGCUGCCUGUCAAUCUUCCUGUGCCCAUCAUCAAAUGCUGGUGGCCCAGACCUUUGUUCUGAACUCUUUGCUCCUUCUCCAGGGUCUGUUUAAAUACAAUCAGAUAGUAUUAGAAAACUAAUCAAAAAAGCCCAAAUUCUCUCUAUUAUUUUUCAAAUAGCUUUCCCUAAACCAUAAUAAUUUCUGAAAAACCAAACAAGCAAACAAACACAAUGCUAUUAGCACAAUAACAAAAUAACCGAGACUGGUGGCAACUGGAGAACAAUUUCAUAUGGUCAUUUCAAACAAAGGGUUUUAAGGUUUUGGAUAUUUCAUUGUCUGCCCAAAGGCAAUUUUCAUAGUAUCUGUCACCAAAGGGUCUGGAUUUCAUCUCUUCUAUACUUCAAAUAGAAAAAGAAUAACAAAACCUAAACAUGACUUUCUAUUGAUAGCUACAAUAUCACAGAUAGUACCCAGAUGUAUCACUGUCUUCAGAGAACACAUUUUAAUGCAUUACAUAUUUAAAAAUAAAGCAUGGACUUAUUGCCUCGGUCUAGCAAGGCAUGAAAUGUUUUAAUAAUUAAAUAACAUACAAGAGUCAUUUUUGAGUAAGAAAUUUUCAUUUCUUAACCAUGGUUAUUCACACAGAAUCACCUUGUAAUAAAUCAAACUGCAUUUUGGGCUACCCAACAGACCCUGUUUCCAAAUCAAGACAAAAAAAUCAAACAAGAAACAAUUCUAUUGGCAUAAUAACAGAGAUUGCUAGACAGCAUGAGAGACUUCUACAGUCAUGUGUAGAAGAAACCCACUCUUUCUCUGCUGUGCUUAGGCACAUAUCCAAAGCAUUACAAUAUGAAAAACCCAAUGACACACUCAGGUUUUCUUAAAACUUUCUAGAAUAGGAUACAUGUUUUCAAAUGCUUCAUAGAUCUCUGAACGCUCUUUGGCACCUAUAAAGAAAUCCAAGUGUAUAUAAAUUUUAACAUAAGAACAACAACAAAAACAGUUUCAAUGCUAAAAUUUCAUUUCACCAUAUUCAAUUGCUGUUUUUUUUUGGGGGGGGGGAACAUGGUCUCUAGAUAAACAGCCCAGGGUGACCUCAGUAUAAAUCCAUCUGUAUCUGCCUCCCCAGUGCUGGGAUUACAAGGAUGUGGAGUUUUGUGAUGGUCUCUAGAUAAUACCUCUUCUGUUCAUGGUAGAUGGCAUUUCUUUCUAAUAAAGACAAGAAAUGGAGGAGGAGCACUAUAACCAUAGUAUUCCCAAAACACAUUCAUAGGGCAAAGAUUCCUUUAGAAUUUCCUCUCUGUGGAUGUUGUCUUUGGUAAUACAAGGCUCAGUAAAAACAUAGAUGGAAUGCUCUGCUAGCGUGCUACAACAUGACAGAGUUACAUUCCCAGCACCUGUGAACUACUAGCAAAAAUGACUUCCUGGGAUCCACUCAUUCUGGUUAGUGUCUUGUCUUCAUAGUAUCAGACAAGCUAGAGUCAUUCUAAGAGUUUCCAACUUUUGACACAUAGGAUAUAAUUAGAGGGAAAAUUUAUUUCACUUUUAGACUUUUAGGUGUCAGCAACUGUUAACUAUUAGGAUAUGACUACAUGCACUUGGAGCACUAAAAACAGAUUAGACACUCUCCCUUGAGAAAUAUGAGUCAGUUCCCACUUGUCUCUCACCAACAACCAUCCGUCACCACCCUCUCCACCUUCAAAAGUUGAUAGGGAACAACCCAAUGCAUGUCAUGGACUGGUUCUUCCUAUGUGUGACUGGGGCUUCAGCUAAACAGGAAUUUGCAUCUGACAUAUUUGUGGGCAGAAACAAUAAAAAUGGUAAGCACCAGGUGUGGUGACUCAUGCCUAUAGCCUGUCACUUGUCAUAAGUUCAAGGCCCUCCUGAGCUACACAGCUGACCCUGUUUCAAAAACAACAACCUGUUAUUAUGUGAAUAACUUGGAAUUUCUGAAGUCAUAGACCCCUUCCUUCAGAGAUGCAGGGCUUACAAGGAAAAAAGAAAGAAACCUAAGAGUGAUUAUUUGGCUUAGCUCCAGGCCCAAUGAGGAAGAAGAUGCAAAAAGAGGAUUGAUCAGAAUUCAGAUCAGGGUUGAGCUGUAAUGUUUUUACUAAAGAAAAAAACAACUGAAAGAUGUGGAAGUUCAGUAACCUCUGAACUGCUAGAGGGACUGUAACCUGGGGUUCAGCCCCCAAGUUGGGUGUUCCUCAAAAGCUAAGGGAUCAGCAUACAACCCAGCAAUUCCACUCAAGUAAACCCCUCAACAAAACCAAAAGCAGAAAUACAGUGAAGACUGGAAUUGCAACAGCAGUUAUAACAAAAAGAGAAGCAACCUCUGUGGCCAUCAAUGAAGAAAAAUCUCAAUGCAUGUUCACAAGAGAGUAUAUUCAGCCAUAAACAGUGUAAAAUUUGGACAUGCCUCAACAGUUGAAACAAAUCCAGGCACACACACACCCCAAAAAGGUAGGAAUGGUUACAGUUAGAUGAAAUAUCCAAAAUAGGCAAAUCCAUGAAGACAACAGACACUGGUGGCUGAUGGAGAACAUGGAAAAUUGCUCAGUGAUAUAGAGACUUAUUUGGAGCCAUGGAAUGUUUUAGUACUGGAGGUAGUGGUAUCAUCACAUUGCAUUGCAGACACUAAAUGUAUUAAAAAACCCACUUUCAAGUGGUUAAGUUUGUUAAAUAAAUUACAUUUUAAAAAAUCUUAAAGAAGUAAGAAGGAAGUUCUUGUAAGUCUAGUUUACUUUUUGGCUGUUAACGGCAAAUUAUUGAUUGAUUGAUUGAUUGAUUGAUUUAUUCCUUGCUAAGGAGUUUGAAUUUUGUAGGUCUGCAUCCUGAAAGAUGGAAGAGGGAGGAAGAAGGUGAAUUACUCAGAGAUAAGAGAAACUCUGUACCUUGGGGGUGGAAAAUCCAUCCAAGUCUUAUCAGAGUUAGAAUAUUAAAGUUUCCCUUUCCAAAGAGAUCAGUUUUAUGUAAACCAAACAGUGAGAUGGGGACACCAAAAAGUACAAGGUUACUGACAAAGAACUUGCCUCUGGCUUGUGAACACUUGUAUCUGGAAUAGGCUUUUUUUGCCAUCAGAGAAUGGCAUGCACUAGGUGAGGCAGGCAUGCACACCACAGAAAACUCCAGGGUAGACAUUCUUUUCACAGUUCCUUGAGGAACAGGGCAUCCAGGUUCGGCAUUUGGGAUAAACACUGAUUUGCUUUUUCCAUAAGGCUUUACAUAAAAUACUGUACCUAUGAACACUGUGCUCAAACAUGAACACACCACCUGGAGACCCCGGGGAAGCAGAAAUACAGCCAGUAUUUUACUUUAGCAACAAUGGUUGCUGACACAAUAGAGUGUACAGUCCCCUUGUUUCAUAAAUGAAGGAAAAGAGGCCCAAGAAAUUACCUAAAUCAUAAAACAGCAAUGAAGGAGACAUGCAGCCAGCAUUUCUUCCUUUACACCAGAAACCACCAACCAAAUAUCACCUGUGCUCACUCCUAUGUAUUAAAACUAGAGUUUGUCCAAUUAAUACUAGAUGUGGUGCUGGCAAUCAGACCCAGUGCCUUUUACAUUCUAAGCAAACCCUUUUCCCUCUGACUGAGUCCCAGACUUCAUCUGACAUUUCCUCACUAAAGUAUGAGCAUCAAAGGAAAACUUAGUCUCAUAGUCUAAUUAACAAUUAAUAAUGAAAGCCUCUACCUUAUAGCAGCAUCGGCACCAACUGGGUGACCCCAGCAUUUUGAGGAAAGCUUACCAUGCCUUUUUGUGUGCUGCAAUGACUGCCCCUUUGGGAUACACACCAUUACCAACCCUGGUGGCAAGAUGUGGCUUCAUACACUGAGAAAGGACCAGCUUGAAACUGAGUAAGAGCCCAAACAGCAGCUGUACCACUAUCUAAUAAGCAUCUCUCCAGACCGCCAAGUUUCAGGUUCCUUGCCAGAAAGACAGAAACCCCUAUCACAGAGUAAGAAGGGAGUUAUGUACACUAACAUUUGUGUGAAGUCCUUUGAAAACAACAUCAUUUCACAAAAACCUAGGCCACUUUAUUGUCUUUGAAGAUUAUAUGGCAGGAUCAGGGACACUGGAUAGUUGGUCUAAGUACAUAUGGCUUAUCUUCUGGUUCAAUGAGAUCCAGUAAAAUAUAUAAUUCUACCAUCUGUCUCCACAGGGCAAGAUUGCUUCCAGAUAGGUACUAUCAUCCUAACAACAGUACACACACCUGAGAAUCUGCACCAAUCCCUGCCUCAGGAACUCUGUGCAACUUUAUUAAGAAGCCUCCUUGAAGAGUUUGAAGCAGCAAGUUAAGCUUCGUGCACAAUAAUGGUCAAUAUAACACAGGAUGGCAAGAUGAAAAUGAACAUCAAGUAAUAUGACACCUGAAAAUGUAUCAUUUUAAGGAUUGAGAUCAUUGAAUGAGAUCAUUUCCCCUUUACUUUUUUCCACAGUACAGCAAAAAUUACCUUGUUAUGGAGGAAAAGCCAUUCAGAAGGACAAGCAAAGCAUACACAACGCUUUUUAUCUUGAAUUAGUUCGCUCAGACUUGCUAGAAAAUAUAUGCUGGAUCUUCAUGAAGUAAAAGACAGAACCUAAGAAUUCUGUCUCCACAUUCCAUCCCAGAGAAGGGUGCAGAGCCAUGGAAAUGACUGAGAUGUCUCCCCCAGAGAAGUUGGGAAGAUGUCAGCCUCACCCCUUCACAUCUACUGCCAUCUCCAAAGCCACUUGGACCAAUUUUAUAACCCUAAUAGAUUAGUAGUCCUGAAUACAGACUUUCUGCACCAACUAGUCCUGAAUACAGACUUUCUGCACCAACGCUGAGUAUGAACUUUGCAGAGUUGCAAGAAGUCAAGUCUCUUCUGGUGGAGCUGCCCAAUCAGAGAUGUGGGCUAAAGUUGCCCAAGUGAUAACUACACAAUUUCACUGUGAGAACCACUAUUUCAAGACCCUGGCCCAUAAGGUAACUUUUGAGGACUGAGGCACAGCAUCUUAAUCCAUUCAUCUACCCUGCCCCUCCUCUAAUCUUUUGAGAGCCUAGUUCGGUCCCACGGAAGCUCUACGGCUAACAGCCUGAAUCUUAUAACUGCUACCGCUUAGCAAGUGUGAGGUUAAGCUUGAAAGCCAUCGUACCUACUGAACUGCCGGUGGGUUAGUGCCAAAAUCUCCAGCCUGAUGGGAAACUUCACAUCGCAGCUUCCCACCAUGUUCUGAAUUUUAAAGUUGAAGAAUUUGACAGGGAACCCCAGCUUCUGCACCACUCGGGCGUACUUUCUCGCUGCCAGUCGAGACUCCUCUUCACUGGGGAUAUGCAAACGUAAUUAAGGACACUUUUCUAUUGUUUUGUGGCAUAAGGUCUGGCUCUAUAGGCCAGGCUAGUAGGUAACUUGUGCAAUCUUACUGCUUCAGUCUCCCAAGUGCUGGGAUUACAUGCAUGCAUCACCACUCCUUGUUAAUUAACCGCAUCUACUAUUAAUAAACCUGGCUGAUUAGGCAUCUUAUUCACCCUGUCUCUUUUACUAUAUGUGUUGUAUUUGUAGCCCAUGCUUCAGAACAUCUCUCUACUACAUGUCCUAUGUCCAUCUUUCAAUGUACCUAUAUGACUGGGCUGGGGUGUGGCUCAGUGACAGAGCACUUCCCUAACAUGGUAAGACUCUGGAUUUGGUUCCCAGAGUCACAAGAAUAAAAUAAAAGUAAGUGAAGCUCCAUGAGAAGGAUCUCCCUCCCGUACCUUUGUCCAUAGUGUCUUGUUAAAUGUCUGGUACAAUUAGUUGUUGAACUGAUCCAAACUCAUUACUUUGAUUGGCCAUCUCAUCUAUAACAUACUUUCACUUGUUUUAAAUGUUUGAAAACUAAACUCUGCACUAUUUCUCAAAGUGUGUCCUCAGACCUAGAAUCUUGUUAGAGGGGCCAUGGCUCAGGUGUGACCUCUGACACAUAGACUCUCUUGUCUGGGGACCAGCAAAUUGCUGUCUAUCGUCAUCUAAGUGCUUCUGGUACUCACUACAGCCUGCAGACUUCCCUGGUCUUAAAGUGUGUGAGCCAUUUGUAUAGGAGCAAAAGUUUAGUACAAAGACAUGCGGGGGGAAAAAUAGAUAAAUAACCAACACAAGGAAGACAGAUAUAUGCCAAGUGAGUAGCAUAGACUUAGGUCUUUAUGAGAUGAAUUGUCAAAAACAAAUUUAAAUUCCUUAAAACUUGCCCAAUUUUUCACGGCUUUCUCACCCAGAUGCUAUGAGGCUCACACUCAGCAUGAGGGGAAAUGUAUCCAAAUUUGCAGCUACAUUCUUCAAACGGUCAACCCCAAAUCUGUGUCAGAGAAUGUGAUGUCCUGAGAGUUGGGCCUGUAGUUUUCAUCUGACAUUGUUCACCUCCCCAAACAACAGUGAGCAGCAAGGGUUGCUGGAAUGGGGGCACUGUGAGCCGAUUCUGUGAGCAUAGGUCUCACAGAUGUACCCAUAUUUAAGUUGUAAACCAGCAGUUCCUAAAAGGAAAGCCACUUUUACUCAGCUUGCCUGAAUAAGCGAAGUAUGAGUUCUUUUCUCUAGGUCUCCCACUGUCCUCUUAUGUGAAUUGGGCCAUGCCCUUUACUUCAAUCAUCCUUGGUUUCCCCCACCCACUUCCAACUCCUGACAUGGCUUAGCAAGACUAUUCCCCAAGUUAGCAAUUGAAUUAAGGCAUUUAAUAAAGGAAGGCUGUUUCACUGUAAAUUUCACAUAUGGGUUCCUAUUUUAACCACAGCUCAAGGUAUACACAUAUUCAUAGUGCAAACAUUAGAGAAUAGAUUUAAAACCCUAAAGUUUUAUCACAGGUGGUAAAAAUUAUUUGAAUUUUGCCUUCUGUACAUAUCCCUAAUCAAACAUGUAUCCUUCAUCCUUAUUACAGAAAAUAGGUUUUCAUAGAGUUUGGACAGUUUGCUCUCUCUUGUAUAA